RNAcentral lists this long non-coding RNA (221 nucleotides) under Lathyrus oleraceus (garden pea). RNAcentral's name for it is "Pisum sativum (pea) long non-coding RNA (PSAT_LNC020516)". The record is from RNAcentral. Lineage: Eukaryota; Viridiplantae; Streptophyta; Magnoliopsida; Fabales; Fabaceae.
UCCUCCUCAUCCCCUCCCUCUUAAAGAGAAUUCAACGUUGAAUUAAAAUCGUCUUCGCCUACAUUAAAAGGAGAUAAGUCAACAACAUUAAAAGUAGAACUCACACCUUACUCACCAGGUAGAUCAAUCUUGUAGGCAUUUCCAUUGAUCCUUUCAAGCACUCGGAAAAGUCCAUCACCCCUUGGUAAAAGUUUAGACUUUCUUUGAGUUGGAAAUCUUUC